GAUGAACGCUAGCGGCAGGCUUAAUACAUGCAAGUCGUGGGGCAGCAUGAAUGUAGCAAUACAUUUGAUGGCGACCGGCAAACGGGUGCGGAACACGUACACAACCUUCCGAUAAGUGGGGAAUAGCCCAGAGAAAUUUGGAUUAAUACCCCGUAACAUAUAGAGGUGGCAUCAUCUUUAUAUUAUAGCUACGGCGCUUAUUGAUGGGUGUGCGGCUGAUUAGAUAGUUGGCGGGGUAACGGCCCACCAAGUCUACGAUCAGUAGCUGAUGUGAGAGAAAGAUCAGCAACACGGGCACUAGGACACGGGCCCGACUCCUACGGGAGGCAGCAGUAAGGAAUAUUGGUCAAUGGACGCAAGUCUGAACCAGCCAUGCCGCGUGAAGGAUUAAGGUCCUCUGGAUUGUAACUUCUUUUAUCUGGGACGAAAAAAGGCGAUUCUUCGUCACUUGACGGUACCAGAUGAAUAAGCACCGGCUAACUCCGUGCCAGCAGCCGCGGUAA
Molecule: ribosomal RNA, 503 nt
Filed under: uncultured bacterium
Lineage: Bacteria
Description: partial 16S ribosomal RNA
Rfam family: Bacterial small subunit ribosomal RNA
Source: RNAcentral